RNAcentral lists this transfer RNA (73 nucleotides) under Anderseniella sp. RNAcentral describes it as "tRNA-Arg". It matches the Rfam family "tRNA". Rfam says of the family: Transfer RNA (tRNA) molecules are approximately 80 nucleotides in length. Their secondary structure includes four short double-helical elements and three loops (D, anti-codon, and T loops). Further hydrogen bonds mediate the characteristic L-shaped molecular structure. tRNAs have two regions of fundamental functional importance: the anti-codon, which is responsible for specific mRNA codon recognition, and the 3' end, to which the tRNAs corresponding amino acid is attached (by aminoacyl-tRNA synthetases). tRNAs cope with the degeneracy of the genetic code in two manners: having more than one tRNA (with a specific anti-codon) for a particular amino acid; and 'wobble' base-pairing, i.e. permitting non-standard base-pairing at the 3rd anti-codon position. Lineage: Bacteria; Pseudomonadati; Pseudomonadota; Alphaproteobacteria; Hyphomicrobiales; Parvibaculaceae. The record is from RNAcentral.
GUUAUCCUUGGUGAUCAUCGAUACCAGAUUCCUAAUCUGGGGGUCACAGGUUCGAAUCCUGUCGGGAUCACCA